UGCAUAUAAAAGUCUGUGUCAACGCAGUGUGAAGCCAAACAAUGACUCAAAGCAGUAGCUACGAUGCAAGGCAGCUAGCAGUGAGCGGCAAAGCAAUGCAGCUUUUAGUGGUUAGCAGCAAAGCGGCUAGUGGUGAAGCAAAGCGGCUAGCGGUGAUGCAAAGCAGCAAAGCAAAGCAGUAGUGAUUUCUUGCAGGUUAGUGGUUGCUAUGCUGCUACACAGGUGUCUUUACCCUACAAUAAAAGAACAGAUAUUAGCAACUUACGAGUGGCUGGAGGAGGAAGCUAAAGUCACUGUGCUACAUACCGGUCAGGCAAUCAUGGUCGGCACAGCGUGGAGCAACGCGACCUGCUGCACAUCAACUGGCAGUGGACAGUGAGCGGCACACAACCAGCAGUGAGCAAUGUGCAGCCAGCAGCAACACCCAAGCGAGCAAUUGAAAUAAUAUAACCAGAAUGAAAAAACUAGAGGGACAGCGUGAGACCAGACUGUAGUCGCCGCCGCCAGGCUACGUGAAGGGCGCCAGGAGGUGACAUGGCCCCGGGUCCAUCUGGCAAGAGGACAACCAGGUGCCUUCUGCCUCCCUUUAUAAGGGUAGGAGUGAUGCCUGGGUGCAGGAGGCAGGAAAAUGAUGCAAAAAGUACGCCUGACAUCUCAGUGUGGAUGGUGGACAAGACUACUGACUUAUCCACAAUGCUGAUUGUAUUUGCACCGAUAGAUUCUAUGUCCAUGUAUGAAGAUCCAACCAGAGUGAGAAAGCUGCAGUGUUUUGGAACUGUGCCUAAUACUGCAAGGAAGUGCAAGAGACAGAGUAGUGACAAGAUCAACUAAAGAAGCAAGAUAUGUCAUCAUCAAAGGGUUGCUCGGUUCAAGCAGGCUGUUACCCUUUCGUUAAAAUAACUGUCAGUUUCAGAUCCCAGCAAAUAAAUCUUUCCAAAGCUGA
Molecule: long non-coding RNA, 943 nt
Organism: Acanthopagrus latus (yellowfin seabream)
Lineage: Eukaryota; Metazoa; Chordata; Actinopteri; Spariformes; Sparidae
Exons: 2
Source: RefSeq, a predicted model, not a curated record